AUAAAGUUAUGAAAGAAUCAAAAAACUCUUUAAAAAAAAUGAACAAAAUUGGAGGGAGUGGUGUGUAAGUCUGCCGGUUUGUUCCGCAGAGGAAACCGCAAUCAAUAGAAGAGAGGGAACCAAAUUCCCAUGAAGUUCAAGAGACAACAGCAAUGGCAGAGAACAACGAGAAAGAAAUCCAAAUCCGAACCCUAACUGGUGAAUCCACUACUCUUCACAUCACUCCCUCCGCCACCGUCCAACACCUCAAGCUCCUCCUCAACCACUCAUUCUCACCCGCCACAAACUCCCCAAAUUUCCACCUCUUUUUCAAGGGUGAAAAAUUGCGAUUGCAGGCAAAGAUUGGUUCUUACCCAAUUCAACUAGGCGAGUUUCUCGUCCUGGUUCCCUUUUCCAAGAAGGAUUCAACUUCAACCGGGACGCAAAACCCGGACCCGGUUCUCGAUUCUUCAAAUGUUGCUAACAGCGCCUCUGGUUCAACCUCUAACCUUGCUGAUUCCACAUGGUCUAAUAUCAUGGAGGAUUUGUCGCAUUUGCGUGAUGGCACCGCUGAAUGUGGCGAUAACAGUGCAUCUAAUUCAGAGUUUGGAGCAUUUGCUUCUGAACCAAGUAAAGGGGGUUUAGGUUUAGGUUUAGGUUUAGGUCAGGAGAAGCAGAUUGAGCUUCCUUAUCAUCUCAUACUGAACACGCUGGAUUGUACUUGCGUUUUCAGUGAGCAUAAUUGCGAGGUUUUUUCGAAGGUUUUGGAGUCUGUGAACUGUUUAUCUGACCUGCCUCUGGGACACUGCAAGCUGUUGAGAAAAGCACGUUUGGAGGGAGCUUUUGUCAAGGGUGGUGUUACAUGCUUGUGUCCACCAUGGUUGAAGACAGUAGUAAAGGCGUUUGCUUUCAUAAACAUUUUCUCCGCGUUUCUUCAUUUGCAGCGUCGAAACAUUACUGCAUUUUUACUGGAAGAGGCACUUAAUCAGGUUGCCAAGUUUGGAGUCAAACUUGGUCUUCAUGACGUGAAGCAUCUUUCCCUUCUUUGUCCUAAUCUAGUGUGUUUUGUGGAUGAAGUAGAGAAGGCAAGUUUUGGUGAUGUCAUUGUUGUAGUUAACCAUUCAACCAGUGAUAAAGAUCAAGUUGAAGAUAAUCCUAGUGGAGCUCGCAAGUGGUUGUCUGCUUCAAAGAUUGUCAGUACAUUGAAGAGAAGGGACAGUUCUUUCCGAAAAUAUCUAGGGUGGGCUUUUGAGCAGAUGCCGUUUGAAUUUGGAGAUGAGAUGGCAGUUGGAACUACCUUGGAAGAAAUGCUUGCAGCAAUUAAAGACCAUAGUUUUGUUGGAAAAGAAAACAAAUCAAAACGUGUAAAGAGAAGCUCAACUACUAAAAAACCUGACAACCACAUUGGAUGUCAUGACACUAAAUCAUUACUGGCUGUGGACAUGGUUGAACAUCUUAAGAAAGGAAUUGGAUCUGAAGGACAGAUUGUGUACAUUGAAGACAUAUGUGCUAGAAAAGCCACUUUCAGCGAGAUCCCAACUGAACUUUCAGAGAAAAUGAGAUCUGCACUGAAAAGCAUUGGAAUUUCCAAAUUGUAUAGUCACCAGGCAGACGCUAUACAAGCCUCCCUUCAUGGGAAGAAUGUUGUUGUAGCUACAAUGACAUCUAGCGGCAAAUCUCUUUGCUACAAUCUGCCAGUUCUAGAAGAGUUGUUGAAGAAUUCAUCAUCAUGUGCUUUGUAUAUAUUUCCAACAAAGGCAUUAGCUCAAGAUCAACUAAGAGCUUUGUUAUACAUGACAAAAGGAUUUGAUGUUGACUUAAAUAUUGGUAUAUAUGAUGGUGACACGUCUCAUAGUGAGAGGACAUGGUUACGUAGUAACUCUAGACUGUUGAUCACAAAUCCAGAUAUGUUACACAUAUCAAUCUUGCCCCACCAUCGGCAAUUUAGUCGGGUUUUAUCAAAUCUGAGGUUUGUGGUCAUUGAUGAAACUCAUACGUACAAGGGAGCAUUUGGAAGUCAUACUGCCCUUAUAUUAAGAAGGCUAAGGAGACUCUGUUCACAUGUAUAUGGAGCCGUUCCUUCUUUUGUUUUUUCUACUGCGACUUCAGCAAAUCCUCUUGAGCAUUCUAUGGAACUUGCAAAUUUACCAACCCUGGAGCUAUUUCAGAACGAUGGCAGUCCAUCUGCCAGGAAACUUUUCAUCCUUUGGAAUCCUAUUCUUCGUCCAAAAGAUAUCUUGAAGAAAGCUCAGUUUGCAAUUGGUAAUAAUGAGUUGGCAGAUGAAAGUGCUAAUUUUGUUCGUUCAAGCCCAAUUGUGGAUGUUUCACGCCUUUUUGCAGAAAUGGUUCAGCAUGGCCUUCGCUGCAUUGCAUUUUGUAAAUCACGGAAACUUUGUGAGCUUGUUUUAUGCUAUACACGCGAAAUUCUUCACGACACAGCCCCGCAUCUAGUGGAUUCCAUAUGUGCAUAUCGUGGUGGCUACAUUGCAGAGGAAAGAAGAAAGAUAGAGAGUGCAUUUUUUGGUGGUAAAAUUUGUGGUGUUGCUGCAACUAAUGCUCUUGAGUUGGGCAUUGAUGUUGGGGAAAUUGAUGUCACUCUGCAUCUAGGAUUUCCUGGUAGUAUUGCAAGCUUGUGGCAACAAGCUGGAAGAGGUGGGAGGAGAGAUAGACCAUCCCUUGCUGUCUAUGUUGCAUUCGGUGGGCCACUUGAUCAAUACUUCAUGAAAAAUCCUAAGAAACUUUUUGAGAGACCGAUUGAAUGCUGUCAUAUUGAUUCCAGAAACAAGCAGGUUCUUGAGCAACAUAUGGCCUGUGCAGCUCUUGAACACCCUCUGAAUGUGCAUUAUGAUGAGAAGUACUUUGGCUCUUGCUUAGAAAGUGUUUUGAUUUCUCUAAAAGCGAGAGGAUACUUGAGAUUUGAUCUGUCAUCGGUUCCUUCUUCUAGAAUAUGGCACUACAUUGGUCCAGAGAAAUCACCUUCACAAGCAGUCAAUAUCCGUGCAAUAGAAACGGUAAGAUACAGUGUCAUAGAUCAGAAAAAGAAUGAAGUCCUUGAAGAGGUAGAGGAAAGCAAGGCUUUCUUUCAGGUAUAUGAAGGCGCUGUGUACAUGUGCCAGGGGAAAACCUAUUUGGUUGAAAAAUUAGAUCUAUCUAACAAAACUGCUUUUUGCAAAGAGGCUGAUCUGAAGUAUUAUACGAAGACACGGGAUUAUACUGAUAUUCAUGUCAUUGGGGGUAAUAUUGCUUAUCCAGUAAAAGUUUCCACUAACAUGCUUCCAAAAACAAAUGCUCGAGCUCAUGUAUGCAAAGUAACUACUACUUGGUUUGGAUUUUAUCGCAUUUGGAGAGGAAGCAAUCAAAUCUUUGAUACUGUUGACCUAGCUCUUCCUCAAUAUUCAUACGAGUCGCAGGCAGUUUGGAUUCCAGUGCCACAGUCAAUAAAAGAAGCAGUAGUCAAGCAAAAUUAUGAUUUCCGUGGAGGUUUGCAUGCUGCUUCACAUGCUGUUUUACACGUAGUGCCUUUACAUAUAACAUGCAACAUGUCUGACUUGUCUCCUGAGUGUCCAAAUCCCCACGAUAGCCGAUAUUACCCUGAAAGAAUUCUAAUAUAUGAUCAACAUCCUGGAGGGUCUGGAAUUUCAGUUCAGGUUCAACCCUAUUUCACGAAGUUCCUAGCAGCUGCGCUAGAAGUUCUCACAUCUUGCUGCUGCUCAGCGGAAGUAGGUUGCCCUAGUUGUAUUCAGAGCUUUGCAUGCCAUGAGUAUAACGAGGUUUUACACAAGGAUGCAGCCAUUAUGAUCAUCAAGGGGAUUUUGGAUGCAGAGAGCUAGUACCUCAAAGUAUGUGCUGGCUAUUUUGAAGUCUAUUUAGGGAGAAAGCUCUCAUUAAGUUUUUAUUUAAGGGGAGCGGUAAAGAUUUUGAUCCACAGGAGCUCGAUGCCAGUUUUCCCGUGGAGACGAUGGUCGCUGAUUUCCUCGUGCCUGAGGGCUGGUGUGUGGACGGGAACACAAGUGUAUGUACCUUUAUAGGGAUGUCCACCUUCUGGUACUGCCAUCUAGGCUCUGCUGACCCGAGAUAUCCAACCUCUUAUCCUCGUUCUUUCACUUUUCACAUGCCCGCCACAACCUAGGCUUUUGUAUGAUGUUCACGUUUUUAACAUUGUUUCUGUAGUGUUAAUCAAUAUUCUGAUCGAAUAACCUACCUUUCUUUUCCUCUUUCA
RNA transcript from Lotus japonicus, 4198 nucleotides. RefSeq lists it as uncharacterized. The transcript is spliced from 28 exons. NCBI's taxonomy places the organism in Eukaryota, Viridiplantae, Streptophyta, Magnoliopsida, Fabales, Fabaceae. The record is from RefSeq and is a predicted model, not a curated record.